AUGGAACCCCCGCAGGCAGAGAAAACUGAGGGUAUCAGAGGCCUCAAAGAUGCUGAGUGCCUCAGGGUUCAUGGAUGUUGGAUGAGUCAGUGCAUCUUGAGCUCCAGCUCUAGGACAGGAGCCCAGCUAGUGAUUCCAAGGUGUACCCAAGUCCCUGCUCAGGACAGAACACAGACCAGUCACCAUGGAGAGAGUGAGCUCUGUCCUCUUGGGCUCCUCUUGGCUUUCUUUGUUGCAAUUUUAAGAGGUGUCCAGUGUGAGGUGCACCUGGUGGAGUCUGGGGGAGGCUUGGUGAAGCCUGGAGGGUCUCUGAGACUCUCUUGCAUGGCUUCUGGAUUCACCUUCAGUAGCUAUGCAAUGCACUGGGUCCACCAGGCUCUAGGGAAGGGGCUGGAGUGGGUCUCAGAAAUUAGUGAUAAAGGUGGUAGCACAUACUACACCAACUCUGUGAAGGGCCGAUUCACCAUCCCCAGAGACAAUGGCAAGAACAUGCUCUACCUGCAAAUGAGCAACCUGAGAUCUGAGGACAUGGAUGUGUAUUACUGUGCAAAAGACACAGUGAGGGGAAGUCAGUGUGAGCCCAGACAUAAACCUCCCUGUGGGAGACAGGAGGGCUGAGC
Phyllostomus discolor (pale spear-nosed bat) is the source of this 620-nucleotide non-coding RNA. NCBI's taxonomy places the organism in Eukaryota, Metazoa, Chordata, Mammalia, Chiroptera, Phyllostomidae. The record is from the annotation of a RefSeq genome assembly.